This 188-nucleotide non-coding RNA is filed under the name Ruminococcus sp. RNAcentral's name for it is "6S RNA". It matches the Rfam family "6S / SsrS RNA". Rfam says of the family: E. coli 6S RNA was the first non coding RNA to be sequenced, but its function was unknown until recently. The record is from RNAcentral. Lineage: Bacteria; Bacillati; Bacillota; Clostridia; Eubacteriales; Oscillospiraceae.
AAUAUUCUGCCUUGUUCGGGUAAGUAUAGUUAUUCAUAAUCCAACACUUCUUAUUAGGGAAUUCGGCUCCGUUUGCGGAUUGCAGACCUCCCGCUUCUGCGGAAGAAGGGAGCGUGAAACAUUCGGGCGUUUACCCACCUGCUUUGUGCGGGUUUUUAUGUUCUAUAUGACGGCAAGGCGGUUUAUUU